This 539-nucleotide ribosomal RNA is filed under the name uncultured bacterium. RNAcentral's name for it is "bacterial SSU rRNA". It matches the Rfam family "Bacterial small subunit ribosomal RNA", at positions 356 to 896 of the family's 1533-position model. The record is from RNAcentral.
GAGGAAUAUUGGUCAAUGGACGGAAGUCUGAACCAGCCAAGUAGCGUGCAGGAUGACGGCCCUAUGGGUUGUAAACUGCUUUUGUAUGGGGAUAAAGUUAGGGACGUGUCCCUAUUUGCAGGUACCAUACGAAUAAGGACCGGCUAAUUCCGUGCCAGCAGCCGCGGUAAUACGGAAGGUCCAGGCGUUAUCCGGAUUUAUUGGGUUUAAAGGGAGCGUAGGCUGGAGAUUAAGUGUGUUGUGAAAUGUAGACGCUCAACGUCUGAAUUGCAGCGCAUACUGGUUUCCUUGAGUACGCACAACGUUGGCGGAAUUCGUCGUGUAGCGGUGAAAUGCUUAGAUAUGACGAAGAACUCCGAUUGCGAAGGCAGCUGACGGGAGCGCAACUGACGCUUAAGCUCGAAGGUGCGGGUACCAAACAGGAUUAGAUACCCUGGUAGUCCGCACAGUAAACGAUGGAUGCCCGCUGUUGGUACCUGGUAUCAGCGGCUAAGCGAAAGCAUUAAGCAUCCCACCUGGGGAGUACGCCGGCAACGGUG